This 567-nucleotide ribosomal RNA is filed under the name Triticum aestivum (bread wheat). RNAcentral's name for it is "partial small subunit ribosomal RNA". The record is from RNAcentral. Lineage: Eukaryota; Viridiplantae; Streptophyta; Magnoliopsida; Poales; Poaceae.
AUGUCGUUGCUCCCACCGGACACGAGAUCGGUCGGCUGCCGGGUCGUGUACCUGUGUCGGGACCCCAAAGAUGCCCUCGUGUCAAGGCUGCACUUCGAGAACAAGGCGUUCCAGGGCACCAACCUGUCCAUGGACAGUGCUUUCAGCAUGUUCUGCGAGGGCUUCUCGCCCUAUGGCCCCUUCUGGGAUCACUGCCUCGGGUACUGGAGGGAGAGUGUAACAAGGCCCGACAACGUUCUUUUCUUGAAGUAUGAGGAGAUCAAGUCCGAUCCAGUGAACACCGUGAGGAAGCUGGCGAAGUUCCUCGGCGUCCCGCUGACUGAGGAGGAGGAGAGGUCCGGCGUUGCUCAGGAGGUGGUGAGGCUGUGCAGCUUUGAGGCACUUACCAACCUGCAAGUCAAUCAGGUCGGCCGCGUACGCCUCGGUGAUAACAUUUUCAUGAGUAACUCUGUGUUUUACAGAAAAGGAGAAGUUGGGGACUGGGCAAACCACAUGAGCCACGAGAUGGGGGACAAGUUGGACCGCAUCGUCCAACAAAAGCUUGAAGGAUCUGGGCUUGUGUUUUGA